GUCGAACGAGGUUUUGUUGAUCGAGUUCUUCGGAACAACUUCUUUAAAACCGAGUGGCGGACGGGUGAGUAACACGUGGGUAACCUGCCUUUAAGUGGGGGAUAACAUUUGGAAACAGAUGCUAAUACCGCAUAAACCUUUAGACCACAUGGUCUAAAGUUGAAAGAUGGCGUAAGCUAUCGCUUUUGGAUGGACCCGCGGCGUAUUAGCUAGUUGGUAAGGUAACGGCUUACCAAGGCGAUGAUACGUAGCCGAACUGAGAGGUUGAUCGGCCACAAUGGGACUGAGACACGGCCCAUACUCCUACGGGAGGCAGCAGUAGGGAAUCUUCCACAAUGGACGCAAGUCUGAUGGAGCAACGCCGCGUGAGUGAAGAAGGCUUUCGGGUCGUAAAACUCUGUUGUUGGAGAAGAACACGUUUGAGAGUAACUGUUCAGACGUUGACGGUAUCCAACCAGAAAGCCACGGCUAACUACGUGCCAGCAGCCGCGGUAAUACGUAGGUGGCAAGCGUUAUCCGGAUUUAUUGGGCGUAAAGCGAGCGCAGGCGGUUUUUUAAGUCUGAUGUGAAAGCCUUCGGCUUAACCGAAGAAGUGCAUCGGAAACUGGGAAACUUGAGUGCAGAAGAGGACAGUGGAACUCCAUGUGUAGCGGUGAAAUGCGUAGAUAUAUGGAAGAACACCAGUGGCGAAGGCGGCUGUCUGGUCUGUAACUGACGCUGAGGCUCGAAAGCAUGGGUAGCGAACAGGAUUAGAUACCCUGGUAGUCCAUGCCGUAAACGAUGAAUGCUAGGUGUUGGAGGGUUUCCGCCCUUCAGUGCCGCAGCUAACGCAUUAAGCAUUCCGCCUGGGGGAGUACGACCGCAAGGUUGAAACUCAAAGGAAUUGACGGGGGCCCGCACAAGCGGUGGAGCAUGUGGUUUAAUUCGACGCAACGCGAAGAACCUUACCAGGUCUUGACAUCCUAUGCCAACCUGA
Molecule: ribosomal RNA, 976 nt
Filed under: Lacticaseibacillus camelliae
Lineage: Bacteria; Bacillati; Bacillota; Bacilli; Lactobacillales; Lactobacillaceae
Description: bacterial SSU rRNA
Rfam family: Bacterial small subunit ribosomal RNA
Source: RNAcentral